GUGGAAUUUUGUUUGAAAUAAAGAAAAAUAUCUUUGAUCAAAUGAAUGACGACUAAGCAUUGAAUAAUUAUUAUGUAGUUGAAGGGUCAAUUUAACAUUGAUUUGAAAACUAAUCAGGACCCAUUAGAGGCGUAAGCAAAGGAGAGAAUAAGAAUACUAAUUUUGAUCAAACCCAACGAAUUUUACAUUUUGAAACUUAAAAUAUGUCACACUCUAAAGGCUAUAAACCAACAAAAUCGAGAUAUUGACUUUUUCGUCGUUACUCUUAUUUUAUUUUAUCCAAAGCUUUUUUUUCAAGAAUUUGGUUGAGGAUAACGCCAAGAGUGUCAACUUCUCGUAUACAAUUAUCUAUGCCUCUCGAAUUAAUUUCAUAUUAUUACGUAAUAUAUGUAAAUUUCUUAUAAAUUGUAAUCAUCUGAUCAUGAAAAUAAAAGACUUAUAAAGUAUGUAUAUAUGUGUAUUAAUUUUACCCCAAUCCAUAACAUUAUAUAAAUCGACUAGUAUUGUUAUAUGUUUGAAUAAGGUUUUUGUGAUAAAUAGACUACAUUGUAUAAACUGGAUGCAAAAUAAAUGAGAAAACCAUGAACACGAAAGAAGAUCAUGACAUAAUCUUCUAUAUGGACCAACCAUAUCAAAGUAAAACAGAGAUAUAUGGAUCAAUAAAGAUACUGUUGUCAAGAAUGAAUGAAAACGUACUUGGGAUGUCCCAAGGCUCACACU
Molecule: long non-coding RNA, 720 nt
Filed under: Arabidopsis thaliana (thale cress)
Lineage: Eukaryota; Viridiplantae; Streptophyta; Magnoliopsida; Brassicales; Brassicaceae
Description: ncRNA (AT1G08087)
Source: RNAcentral